This 88-nucleotide transfer RNA is filed under the name Gammaproteobacteria bacterium. Its description in RNAcentral is "tRNA-Ser". It matches the Rfam family "tRNA". From Rfam's summary of the family: Transfer RNA (tRNA) molecules are approximately 80 nucleotides in length. The record is from RNAcentral. Lineage: Bacteria; Pseudomonadati; Pseudomonadota; Gammaproteobacteria.
GGAGGAAUGGCAGAGUGGUCGAAUGCACCGGUUUUGAAAACCGGCGACUGUAACAGGUCCGGGGGUUCGAAUCCCUCUUCCUCCGCCA